UACGUAGGGGGCGAGCGUUACUCGGAUUUACUGGGCGUAAAGGGGGCGUAGGCGGCUGUGUAAGUCCGGUGUGAAAACUCCCGGCUCAACCGUGGGACUGCGCUGGAAACUACACGGCUUGAGGACGGUAGAGGGAGACGGAACUGCUGGUGUAGGGGUGAAAUCCGUAGAUAUCAGCAGGAACGCCGGUGGAGAAGUCGGUCUGCUGGGCCGUAACCGACGCUGAGGCACGAAAGCUAGGGGAGCGAACCGG
This 253-nucleotide ribosomal RNA is filed under the name uncultured microorganism. RNAcentral's name for it is "partial 16S ribosomal RNA". It matches the Rfam family "Bacterial small subunit ribosomal RNA", at positions 524 to 776 of the family's 1533-position model. The record is from RNAcentral.